RNAcentral lists this ribosomal RNA (499 nucleotides) under Veillonella dispar. Its description in RNAcentral is "bacterial SSU rRNA". It matches the Rfam family "Bacterial small subunit ribosomal RNA", at positions 28 to 496 of the family's 1533-position model. The record is from RNAcentral. Lineage: Bacteria; Bacillati; Bacillota; Negativicutes; Veillonellales; Veillonellaceae.
GACGAACGCUGGCGGCGUGCUUAACACAUGCAAGUCGAACGAAGAGCGAUGGAAGCUUGCUUCUAUCAAUCUUAGUGGCGAACGGGUGAGUAACGCGUAAUCAACCUGCCCUUCAGAGGGGGACAACAGUUGGAAACGACUGCUAAUACCGCAUACGAUCUAAUCUCGGCAUCGAGGAUGGAUGAAAGGUGGCCUCUAUUUAUAAGCUAUCACUGAAGGAGGGGAUUGCGUCUGAUUGGCUAGUUGGAGGGGUAACGGCCCACCAAGGCGAUGAUCAGUAGCCGGUCUGAGAGGAUGAACGGCCACAUUGGGACUGAGACACGGCCCAGACUCCUACGGGAGGCAGCAGUGGGGAAUCUUCCGCAAUGGACGAAAGUCUGACGGAGCAACGCCGCGUGAGUGAUGACGGCCUUCGGGUUGUAAAGCUCUGUUAAUCGGGACGAAAGGCCUUCUUGCGAAUAGUUAGAAGGAUUGACGGUACCGGAAUAGAAAGCCCGGU